AUGGUAGGAUAGAGGCCUACCAUGGUGGUAACGGGUAACGGGGUGUUAGGGCACGACACCGGAGAGGGAGCCUGAGAAACGGCUACCACAUCCAAGGAUGGCAGCAGGCGCGCAAAUUACCCAAUCCCGACACGGGGAGGUAGUGACAAUAAAUAACAAUACGGGGUUCUUUAGGAUCUCGUAAUUGGAAUGAGUACAAUUUAAAUCUCUUAACGAGGAACAAUUGGAGGGCAAGUCUGGUGCCAGCAGCCGCGGUAAUUCCAGCUCCAAUAGCGUAUAUUAAAGUUGUUGCAGUUAAAAAGCUCGUAGUUGAAUUUCGGGGUUAGUAGGUUGGUCAUGCCUCUGGUAUGUACUGGUCUCACUGAUUCCUCCUUCCUUAUGAACCGUAAUGCCAUUAAUUUGGUGUUGCGGGGAAUUUGGACUGUUACUUUGAAAAAAUUAGAGUGUUUAAAGCAAGCUAACGCUUGAAUACAUUAGCAUGGAAUAAUGAAAUAGGACGUUCGAUCUUAUUUUGUUGGUUUCUAGGAUUGACGUAAUGAUUAAUAGGGAUAGUUGGGGGCAUUAGUAUUCAAUUGUCAGAGGUGAAAUUCUUGGAUUUAUUGAAGACUAACUACUGCGAAAGCAUUUGCCAAGGAUGUUUUCAUUAAUCAAGAACGAAAGUUAGGGGAUCGAAGACGAUCAGAUACCGUCGUAGUCUUAACCAUAAACUAUGCCGACUAGGGAUCGGAUGA
RNAcentral lists this ribosomal RNA (731 nucleotides) under uncultured fungus. RNAcentral's name for it is "SSU rRNA". It matches the Rfam family "Eukaryotic small subunit ribosomal RNA", at positions 325 to 1060 of the family's 1831-position model. The record is from RNAcentral. Lineage: Eukaryota; Fungi.